AAGCCCGGGAGGGGAGGAAAGUCGUGAAAGCUCUGAACCACAAAAGCAAUUCCAAUCCAGGCCCAGGGGAAUCCUUCUUGCUCGAGAGGGAGCUUCCUCCGCAGCGAGGAGAAUGUGACCUACGUUCUAAAACCCCUUGGAGCACCUGAGAAAACAUGAAACUUGAUAAAUGAAGUCAGCUCCCGCCCGCGCUUGCUGCGGGUACCCUGACUUCUAGCAGACAUUUCCUAUCGUUGGCGGGUGUGAGCCACAGCAGAGUUGCCUCGGCCAGCCAUGUAUCGGGACGUUGCCUUCACAACCUACUGUACCACGGUUCACAUCAGAACAGCAUCUCAGAUCUGUGCAAAAAAUCAGCAGUGUAGAAACUUAUCCAUUUACCGUAUCACAGCAGCAAGCAGUAAGAGACCACCAGCCCGGCUUCUACCGUAGGUUCAAUUGUCCUUUUUGUUUUCUAACCCAUUUUGAGCACUGUAACAGGUUAGACAAAUCCAAAGUAGAGCCACAUUCUAAAGCCAGAGUAACAUUUGAAUAAACUGCUAAAGGGCAGAAUGGGGCAAACCCGUUCGACCCAAUAACACUUUGUUAAAGAGAUUUAGAACUUUACUUGAUUUUUUAAAAAAAAGUUUCAUUGAGCCUGUGGAAGAUGGGUUUGGUUUUCUAUUUUUAAACUAC
This 672-nucleotide long non-coding RNA is filed under the name Mus pahari (shrew mouse). Its description in RNAcentral is "predicted gene, 44296 (MGP_PahariEiJ_G0002901.1)". The record is from RNAcentral. Lineage: Eukaryota; Metazoa; Chordata; Mammalia; Rodentia; Muridae.